GGGUUGUGAGGUUAAGCGACUAAGCGUACACGGUGGAUGCCCUGGCAGUCAGAGGCGAUGAAGGACGUGCUAAUCUGCGAUAAGCGUCGGUAAGGUGAUAUGAACCGUUAUAACCGGCGAUUUCCGAAUGGGGAAACCCAGUGUGUUUCGACACACUAUCAUUAACUGAAUCCAUAGGUUAAUGAGGCGAACCGGGGGAACUGAAACAUCUAAGUACCCCGAGGAAAAGAAAUCAACCGAGAUUCCCCCAGUAGCGGCGAGCGAACGGGGAGCAGCCCAGAGCCUGAAUCAGUGUGUGUGUUAGUGGAAGCGUCUGGAAAGGCGCGCGAUACAGGGUGACAGCCCCGUACACAAAAAUGCACAUACUGUGAGCUCGAUGAGUAGGGCGGGACACGUGGUAUCCUGUCUGAAUAUGGGGGGACCAUCCUCCAAGGCUAAAUACUCCUGACUGACCGAUAGUGAACCAGUACCGUGAGGGAAAGGCGAAAAGAACCCCGGCGAGGGGAGUGAAAAAGAACCUGAAACCGUGUACGUACAAGCAGUGGGAGCCUCUUUAUGGGGUGACUGCGUACCUUUUGUAUAAUGGGUCAGCGACUUAUAUUCUGUAGCAAGGUUAACCGAAUAGGGGAGCCGAAGGGAAACCGAGUCUUAACUGGGCGUUAAGUUGCAGGGUAUAGACCCGAAACCCGGUGAUCUAGCCAUGGGCAGGUUGAAGGUUGGGUAACACUAACUGGAGGACCGAACCGACUAAUGUUGAAAAAUUAGCGGAUGACUUGUGGCUGGGGGUGAAAGGCCAAUCAAACCGGGAGAUAGCUGGUUCUCCCCGAAAGCUAUUUAGGUAGCGCCUCGUGAAUUCAUCUCCGGGGGUAGAGCACUGUUUCGGCAAGGGGGUCAUCCCGACUUACCAACCCGAUGCAAACUGCGAAUACCGGAGAAUGUUAUCACGGGAGACACACGGCGGGUGCUAACGUCCGUCGUGAAGAGGGAAACAACCCAGACCGCCAGCUAAGGUCCCAAAGUCAUGGUUAAGUGGGAAACGAUGUGGGAAGGCCCAGACAGCCAGGAUGUUGGCUUAGAAGCAGCCAUCAUUUAAAGAAAGCGUAAUAGCUCACUGGUCGAGUCGGCCUGCGCG
RNAcentral lists this ribosomal RNA (1132 nucleotides) under Escherichia coli. RNAcentral's name for it is "partial 23S ribosomal RNA". It matches the Rfam family "Bacterial large subunit ribosomal RNA", at positions 1 to 1165 of the family's 2925-position model. Lineage: Bacteria; Pseudomonadati; Pseudomonadota; Gammaproteobacteria; Enterobacterales; Enterobacteriaceae. The record is from RNAcentral.